GGAGAAAUGGCCGAGUGGACGAAGGCGCGCGCCUGGAAAGUGCGUAUAUUCCAAAAGAGUAUCAAGGGUUCGAAUCCCUUUUUCUCCG
Molecule: transfer RNA, 88 nt
Filed under: Prevotellaceae bacterium
Lineage: Bacteria; Pseudomonadati; Bacteroidota; Bacteroidia; Bacteroidales; Prevotellaceae
Description: tRNA-Ser
Rfam family: tRNA
About the family: Transfer RNA (tRNA) molecules are approximately 80 nucleotides in length. Their secondary structure includes four short double-helical elements and three loops (D, anti-codon, and T loops). Further hydrogen bonds mediate the characteristic L-shaped molecular structure. tRNAs have two regions of fundamental functional importance: the anti-codon, which is responsible for specific mRNA codon recognition, and the 3' end, to which the tRNAs corresponding amino acid is attached (by aminoacyl-tRNA synthetases). tRNAs cope with the degeneracy of the genetic code in two manners: having more than one tRNA (with a specific anti-codon) for a particular amino acid; and 'wobble' base-pairing, i.e. permitting non-standard base-pairing at the 3rd anti-codon position.
Source: RNAcentral